Long non-coding RNA from Pleuronectes platessa (European plaice), 383 nucleotides. RefSeq lists it as uncharacterized. The transcript has 3 exons. Lineage: Eukaryota; Metazoa; Chordata; Actinopteri; Pleuronectiformes; Pleuronectidae. The record is from RefSeq and is a predicted model, not a curated record.
AAGAAGAAACACGUGUUUACUCUUGUAUGAUUCUGCUGCUGCGACACAGUGGACACAGUCAGGAUAAACCUCCUGUUGAAGAAUGUUAAAGUGUUGAGCUCCAUGAUGGACACACGGUGGAGGAGGGACUGGGCCCAGUGGAACCAGUGGAACCACGAGACAGGAAGGACUGUGGAGAAAGCUAAUGAUGGGCAGCUGAUGAUUCUCACCCUGGAGAUGACGUGGCCCUCUUUCUUCACCAGACCGGGACCUCCAGUGUGCGCUCGGUGGUUUGAGGCCGAGUAAGAAGUGGUCAGGAUGAGAAACAGCACAGAUUCUGAGGCCAUGGAUUUCUGCUGAAAACUGUGGAUGCUCCCAGGUUGGGUGUUAGUUGAUGCCCCAAG